CGGCGUGCUUAACACAUGCAGUCGAACGGAGUCUUAAGGGCUUGCUCUUAAGACUUAGUGGCGCACGGGUGAGUAACAGUAGCUAACCUGCCCCAUAGUAAGGGACAACAGUUGGAAACGACUGCUAAUACCUUGUAUCCUUCUUUACACAAGUAAAGUCGGGAAAGUUUUUUCGCUAUGGGAUGGGGCUGCGGCCAUCAGCUUGUUGGGGAGGUAACGGCUCACCAAGGCUAUGACGGGUAGCUGGUCUGAGAGAUGAUCAGCCACACUGGAACUGAGACACGGUCCAGACUCCUACGGGAGGCAGCAGUGGGAAUUUUACACAAUGGGCGAAAGCCUGAUGUAGCAACGCCGCGUGGAGGAUGAAGGAUCUGGUCUGUAAACUCCUUUUAUAAGGGAAGAAAUUUGACGGUACCUUAUGAAUAAGCACCGCUAACUCCGUGCCAGCAGCCGCGGUAAUACGGGGGGUGCAAGCGUUACUCGGAAUCACUGGCGUAAAGGGCGCGUAGGCGUCUUGUUAAGUCUUGAGUGAAAGCCUGCGGCUCAACCGAGAACUGCUUGGGAAACUGACAAGAUUGAGUAUGGAAGAGGUAGGUGGAAUUUCCAGUGAGGGGUAAAAUCCGUAGAUAUUGGAAGGAAUACCAGAAGCGAAGGCGACCUACUGGGACUUACUGACGCUGAGGCGCGAAAGCGUGGGGAGCAAACAGGAUUAGAUACCCUGGUAGUCACGCCCUAAACGAUGAACACUAGUCGUCGGGUAGCUAGUCUAUUCGGUGACGCAGCUAAGCAUUAAGUGUUCCGCCUGGGGAGUACGGCCGCAAGGUUAAAACUCAAAUGAAUUGACGGG
RNAcentral lists this ribosomal RNA (847 nucleotides) under uncultured Campylobacterota bacterium. Its description in RNAcentral is "bacterial SSU rRNA". It matches the Rfam family "Bacterial small subunit ribosomal RNA", at positions 40 to 917 of the family's 1533-position model. The record is from RNAcentral. Lineage: Bacteria; Pseudomonadati; Campylobacterota.